AUUCCGCGAUGAGGGCAUCUACGUAGCAACUCCUUAAUCUUUCCUAUGCCUCAUAUCAGGACUCGUCAUCCAAUUAUUAAAAAGUGAGGAUCUCAUUCCACAACU
Gossypium hirsutum (cotton) is the source of this 105-nucleotide non-coding RNA. Lineage: Eukaryota; Viridiplantae; Streptophyta; Magnoliopsida; Malvales; Malvaceae. The record is from Rfam.